CACCAGUGGCGAAGGCGACUUUCUGGACGAAAACUGACGCUGAGGCGCGAAAGCCAGGGGAGCGAACGGGAUUAGAUACCCCGGUAGUCCUGGCCGUAAACGAUGGGUACUAGGUGUAGGAGGUAUCGACCCCUUCUGUGCCGGAGUUAACGCAAUAAGUACCCCGCCUGGGGAGUACGACCGCAAGGUUGAAACUCAAAGGAAUUGACGGGGGCCCGCACAAGCGGUGGAGUAUGUGGUUUAAUUCGACGCAACGCGAAGAACCUUACCAGGUCUUGACAUUGAUGGACAGAACCAGAGAUGGUUCCUCUUCUUCGGAAGCCAGAAAACAGGUGGUGCACGGUUGUCGUCAGCUCGUGUCGUGAGAUGUUGGGUUANNNNNNNNNNNNAGCGCAACCCCUAUCUUAUGUUGCCAGCACUUUGGGUGGGGACUCAUGAGAGACUGCCGCAGACAAUGCGGAGGAAGGCGGGGAUGACGUCAAAUCAUCAUGCCCCUUAUGACCUGGGCUACACACGUACUACAAUGGGAGUUAAUAGACGGAAGCGAGAUCGCGAGAUGGAGCAAACCCGAGAAACACUCUCUCAGUUCGGAUCGUAGGCUGCAACUCGCCUACGUGAAGUCGGAAUCGCUAGUAAUCGCAGGUCAGCAUACUGCGGUGAAUACGUUCCCGGGCCU
Molecule: ribosomal RNA, 676 nt
Filed under: uncultured bacterium
Lineage: Bacteria
Description: bacterial SSU rRNA
Rfam family: Bacterial small subunit ribosomal RNA
Source: RNAcentral